UUGCGUUUGGAAUCAUGAUGUGAGCUUAUAAAACUCUAUCUUGGACGCAACGAACUGCAUCAACCAGUAAUCAAGGGAUUCUCGAAUACUGGCGGCACGGAUCAAUUAGAGAAACGACGAAAUAUGGCAGGUUAUAGACAUAGCCAUUUAUAACCCUAGAAAAGCCUAAUGAACCGCAUUGAAGCGGGUUUAUCAGACAAACUUGAUAGAUAUACCUAAUUGAUUGUCAUCGACGGAGAGGGGCGCAUUUUUUGCGUAUCUGAUGGCACGUAGGG
This 275-nucleotide non-coding RNA is filed under the name unclassified sequences. RNAcentral's name for it is "PAGEV RNA". It matches the Rfam family "PAGEV RNA". The record is from Rfam by way of RNAcentral.